This 116-nucleotide ribosomal RNA is filed under the name Malus domestica (apple). The record is from RNAcentral. Lineage: Eukaryota; Viridiplantae; Streptophyta; Magnoliopsida; Rosales; Rosaceae.
GAGGCUUUUUGGGAGUUCACUAACUUCGGAUCCCAUUGGAACUUCGAAGUUAAGCGAGUUUGCGCAAGAGCAAUCCCAGGAUGGGUGACCCACUGGGAAGUUCUUGUGUGAGUUCU